GCCUUCCGCACUAAAGGCUGCGAAAAUCCAGACCUCAGUCUGUUUGUUGACAUGUUAAAGAAAAUGCUUGACCUUGAUCCUGCAACGCGCAUUACCCCAGCUCAACUGUUGCAACAUGGUUUUCUGACAAACACUGAGGUGGGGACUACCUGUGAAGAGCCAGAGGUUACUGCCAGCAAGAAAAAUGGACAGUCUUUACAGUCGCAGUGGGAAAACACCCAGCACAACCAAGCAAGCCAGUUAAAAACAGGGCAGAAAAGAAAGCAUGACUAUAAAGAUGAUGACCCAACUUGUCAUGACUCCAAGCGGCCUAAAAUUCAGUCAAGGGUGACACCAAGGAAGGACACACAAAUGAAUGCUGUGAAUUCCACUGUUCAGAGGAAGCUGCCUGAUGGGAAGGAUGGUGGGCCUCAUUGCUCCACCUCGAUGGCUGUGCCCAAGUUCAGCCAACAAGCUUUGAAAAGAAGAAGGAAAUGCACAGGCAGGAAAGGAAAGAAAAAGUAACUGACUCCCUGAACACAUAUGUUGUGGGUACAGUCCCAUCUGGUCUUUCAAUCACAUAUUCACCGUGAAUUAUAAUAAAGGAAGCUGAUUUCGUUGUGUUAAACAUUAGUUUUGUUUUUUCA
Long non-coding RNA from Takifugu rubripes (torafugu), 626 nucleotides. The record is from Ensembl. Lineage: Eukaryota; Metazoa; Chordata; Actinopteri; Tetraodontiformes; Tetraodontidae.